GACGAACGCUGGCGGCGUGCUUAACACAUGCAAGUCGAACGGAAAGGCCCCUUUGGGGGUACUCGAGUGGCGAACGGGUGAGUAACACGGGAGUAACCUGCCCUUGACUUCGGGAUAACUUCAGGAAACUGGGGCUAAUACCGGAAAGGAAUCCUUGCUGCAUGGUGGGGGUUGGAAAGCUUCGGCGGUUUUGGAUGGACUCGCGGCUUAUCAGCUUGUUGGUGGGGUAGUGGCUUACCAAGGCUUUGACGGGUAGCCGGCCUGAGAGGGCGACCGGCCACAUUGGGACUGAGAUACGGCCCAGACUCCUACGGGAGGCAGCAGUGGGGAAUAUUGCACAAUGGGCGGAAGCCUGAUGCAGCAACGCCGCGUGCGGGAUGACGGCCUUCGGGUUGUAAACCGCUUUCAGCAGGGGCGAAGCUUGUGGUGACGGUACCUGCAGAAGAAGCACCGGCUAACUACGUG
Molecule: ribosomal RNA, 465 nt
Filed under: uncultured bacterium
Lineage: Bacteria
Description: partial 16S ribosomal RNA
Rfam family: Bacterial small subunit ribosomal RNA
Source: RNAcentral